AGCGUUGCGGUCCGGACAGAGCAAAAAAAACAAGGCAUCAGUAUUGUUGAGUAUUAGCUUGUACCUGGUUCGGAGGCUAAGUAAGUAUUACCUUCCAGUUUGGGGCUGGGGGCGCGGGCCGCGCGAUCUCAAAACUGCAUCUCCCUUCCUCUGUCUUCUCAUAAAUAUUUGGGGGCCAGGAUUCCAAGGCCUGGCGGGAGAGGGACCCCUGCCCCAUUCGCCAUCCCCGGAACUUGCAGAAGUUGCCCGAGGCCCGGAGCGCGCUCUGCGUCCACCCCUCCUCGUUCCCAGUCCAGCACGCCCAGAUUGGACUCCCUCGUCCCGGCGUCCCUGGGGUCUGCGCCCUGGAGCUGCGACAGCGCGGUUCACGGGGCUCCCCGAGACGGGCGGCUUCUUUUGUCACACACGGAGCUGGGGCCCAGCCCGGCCUUUCUCGUGGACCGAGAGACCGAGAGAGAGGGAGAGAGAGAGAGAGAGAGAGAGAGAGCGCGAACGUGCGAGCGAGAGAGCAAGCGGGAGCGCGAGCCGCGCUGCGCCGUUUGGGUAUCUUUCCCCGCGCAGGCCCCAAACCUAGGUGGAGCGGGGCGGGGGGGGGGGGGGGGGGGGGGGGGGGGGGGAGGGGGAGUGGGUCAUCUGGCCUGGUCCGAGACCCUGGCGUUUCAGGCCUGAGCGCGCCGCCCACGGGUACUCUGGGGGAGAGGUGGGGAGCAGAAGACCCAGGGCGGACGGGUCUUUCUGAAGCCAGCUCAGAGGUGGCGUUCACCACGUCUCUUCUCUCCUCGAUGCACCUUCCAGAUCCCGGCUCAGCCAGUCGGGGCACCGUGGUGAGUGGGUCACGCUUUCGAGGGGUGGGGGCGGAACGCUAGAGGUUGUGUGGGCGCUGCUUGUACUUGGCGGCGCGUGCGGGCUGUGUGUACAAGUUGCGUCCAAAGUCGAGCGAAGGUAGAGCGGCUCGGCGGGGAGCCGAGGGUCUGGGGCGUGUGGGGGCGCUUGCAGGUGUGUGUGUGUGUGUGAAGAGGGAGGGGUGGGUCUGGGGGGUGGGGGGAGAGGCCAGGCCACCUUUCCCAAGGGGCCGACCUGGCGACCCGACUCACCAAGGCCGGGAAGCCUCCCCAGGAUUUUUUCCGCCCUGCUCUCCGAAAGUCGUCAUUGGCAGACCGGGUAGGUAGGCCCUGGGCUGGGGCCAGAGAAGUGUGUUUGUGCCAAGACUUGGCUGUGAACGUGUGUUUGGCUCAUCUACGGAGUUUGUUAGUGUAUGUUUGCUGUUUGAGAAUUGCAUUUUUGCCUCUAUUUAUAGUUAGCCAUUAAUCACGUGAAUACAUUUGGGCAUGUGUCUUUUUUGGUGCAAAUCUGUGUGUUUGCAUUUGUUAAUAGUUCUGCGCUGUGUUUUAGUCUGUGUGGUCUUGUUUCUGUCGGGGUAUGCGUAUGUGUGUGUAGGCUUACUUUCAGACACUCAAGCGGGAGGGUGUUUGCACGUGUGAGUGUGCGUGUGGAUAAUAUUAUCGUGUGCGUGUGCUAACAUUGAUGUGUAAGUGGACUUAAAAAAACCUGGAGGUGUGUGUUUGUGCGUGGGUGAGCGUGUGCGUGCUUGAGACGCCGUGUGUGUGUGAGUGUGUGUGUGUGACUGAGCUAGGUUGUGCGCGCAGAAUUUUGUGGGUCUGUGCUUGUAUGCCAGUCACUGUGUGUGUGUGUGUGCGUGUGUGUGUGUGUGUGUGUGUGUGUGUGUGUGUGUGGAUGGCCUGUUUUUGUUUAUGUGACUCCUGUAGGCUUUGGGGGCCCUGUUGUGUGUGUGCUCCUCAUGUUACCUUUGUGGAUUUGAUGGGGGCAGGAUUUCUGGAUGCCCGUGUUGGGGCAUUUGGUGGAGGCACGGAGAUGCUUACUUCUCUCUGUUCCUGUCUAGGCUUAGCGCUGUCCCCCAGUCUCUAGGGGAGGCGAUCUGGCUGGGGACAGGAGAUUGACAGAUGCUGGUCGCCAGGUGGGACACUGCCCCACAGCUGGGUCUCUGAAAAGAAGUCCCCAAAUCGGGUAGCUUCUGCCUGAUGGUGCUGUUACUCCAGCCUCUGGCUUGCCCAGGGACAGGUGUCCACACGAGGUAGCAGCGUGGCUGGUUAGAGCCGGGCUCGGCCAGGAGCAAGUGGACCGGCGCUCGCCCGGUCCCCUAGGCCCAGCUGGGAGAGCUCCCAGAGCCCCAAACGAAAACCACAGUUUCUGGCAGCCUGGCUUUGCCCUCCCGGGGCAUGAGGGGCCCCAGCCUCCAGCGGGGCAGGGUCCAGGAGGACCAAGAACGCACGAGGAGAGAGGCGCCAGGCUGGCAGUGGAGGCCAACUGGGUUGCCUACCCCGCCUUUGUUUCGCUGGGGUUUCUCUCUCCCGCGUUCCCUGCACAUCUGCUUUCCUUUCCGUCUCCUUUUCUUUCUUAUGUUCAGCCUCUGCUCUCUUUCUGUUUUCCCUUCAUCUCUGUUUCUCCAUCACUUUCUCGAUUUCACUCCGUUUUUAUUUUCUCCCCCCUUCUACUCUGCUGGGCGUCCAAAUCCAGCACCGUGCUCAAUGCUUCAGUGAACAAUUCUCAUCGCGCACCGCACAGCUCUUGGGGUGCUGGGAGACUCACAUACAGUCAUUAAAAGCCCCAUCUGACAGCCUUCUGCCCUGUUCUGGACUAAGCACCCCAAACUCACUGUCCUCCAACGCCCACCCCCCCCCCCCCCGCCUGACUGGGUCCUUGAGAGCCAGGUUACUGUGUCUUCCCAGCCCUGGCUUUGCCAACCCUGCCGGCUGCUGGGUGCUGUGUGCCGGGUUCCAUCUGGGACAGACCCACCUGCCCUCACCUCCUGGAUGUGCUUAAAUGCCAGUGCACAGCCAGGCCCCAGCAGGCUGGGGAGGUAGCAGGAAUCGGGGACGGUCUCAGAGAGCAGUUCUGAGUCCUCCGGAGCCUGGAUGUGGUGAGUCACGAGGGGGCCGAGUGCCCGUUUGCAGGAGAAGAGAGCUCUGCUUCCAGAAGCCCUGCUUUGGCCUCUGCCUCCUGUAGCUGGGUUUACCCAUCCCGUGCAGGACAGAGCCCCCCCCCCCCUGAAGUCACCCUGGGGGCCUCAGCCCAGCCCAGCCCCAGUCCAGAACCUCCAUGCCCCAGCCCCACCGCAGGAAAGCCUGCUUGGCCUUUACCAGCCUUCCACCUUCCAGGGCGCACAGCAUCCGAAGAACGCCGGCAGACCAACUAUUAGACGAAUUAUCCCGCCCUAACAGCGCUAACAGAUGGCGACCAGGCAGCGAAAUCCGCUCCUAUAUGUAACUAAUAAACCGCUUGUGUCUUAACAGGGUAAUGCAUGGAGACGCAGUGUCACUUAUACAAGAUGUUGAUGGAAUUUACUAUAUAAAAAUCUUCCUCCUAGACUAAAGAGUAUCAACAUUACAACUCGACAGACGGCGGCGGGAUAAGUAAAACAGACAAAAGACAAGCAAGAUAAUAAUCUGUUUCCAAUCACUUAAGCCCUGUAGAGUUAGUAAUAUGCGGUUUGCAUAUUCUCCCUUGAGUUCGGUAAUUAAUUACCGGCGAAGAGGCACACACCCGCCCGGGGUGGGAGUUUGGAGGCGCGCUGAGCUGGGGCUUGGGGUGCUUCUUCCUUGUCUUCUCCAGCCGGGGACUCGGGGCGGCGGCCGGAACGGGGACUCUUCGCGAAUUUGGAGCUGGCCUCCCCGCAGGCUAAGGAGAAUUUUCAGUCGCGCCUCCCUAACUCCCCGGAAGCUCUCUUGCCUGGGGUGGGGCGGGUGGGUGGUGCUGCAGGCCAGCAGGAACCUGGAGCUUUUGUGGCGGCCGGAAUAUCUCCUUUCGCUCCUCCGAAGGCAUCCCCUCCCCUUGAGUGGUGCGGAGCGGCUUGCUUUCUUGGGGGACGCGCGCUCUGAGGGAACCCUAGGGGUGCGCCCUUCGUUGGCUUCUCCGCGCGGCAUCUUGGGCGGCGCUGCCGGUCCGCUCGCGACUUCGUUCAUUACCUCCCCCCCACCCCCCCAGCCAAACGCAUUCUCCGCAUCCAUCCCCCCCCCCCACCCCGCCCCCAAGAGCCGGCGCGGGCUUUAACAUUAAACAAACGCAGCGAGCGCCUCAGAGCUGCGCUCUCGGCCGGGUCUGCGCGGCGGCGGCGGCGUUACAAAUUGUAAAUUUAAAUUGCUCGCCGGAUUCAUUACUUCCCCUCUUUGAUUUCAGCCAGCCGUGAAAAAUUAUACUGGUGUACCACUGAGAAACUGUUUUGCCGCAAAGAGCCCGCGCCUAAUCACUGGCUUUCUCCCUCCGACAAAAGUGUAAUUAUUUUGUUUGGGGUGUAAAUAUAGGCCGCGCCGCGCACACACACUCAGCGUCCCGCCGCGCCGCCUCGCUCUGCCCGCCGCUGCGCGCAAUCGGCCCCCGAGUAAGAGCGGGCGUGGAGGCUGGGCCCUGACGCCCGGAGGCCUGAGAAGAGCGUCUGGUUUGGCGCUCCGGAGAGACCCAGAGAGCCGAGCUGGCCGGCCGGGUCUCCAACCUCUAUCCUCGGGAGUUCGAGUUUGCCCGAGGACGCCCGGAACGUGUGCGCCCUGGCUGGCCCGGGUGGACGCUGGUGGAGUGCGAUGAGUAGGUCAGGGCUCGGGCGCAGGCCUGGAUAUCCGCUCAGGGAUGCAGAAUGUGGGGGUGGACGAACCUUCCGGGAGCCCCAGGGGGUGGCCACCUGGGGGCAGCCCCGAGUCCAGGCAGGGACAGUAUCUGGGCCUGGGCGUCCCCAAGAGUGCCGGGACAUAGGCGGAACCCUGGAGGACAGGGGCGAUGAGGCCGGUGUGCCCCUAACGCUCUGCCUUGGACUGCUUGGUUUCCAGAACAUCUCUGCGGGGUGCGGGGCCUUCCUGUCAGUUGAAUUGCGCAUGGCUUAAUUAACGGUCUCGUUAACUGGGCAGGCCCGACCUGGAACGUUUAAUCAAAAAGGCAGGGAAUCCCUCUGUUUCCUUCCUUCCUUCCUCCCUCCCUCCCUUCCUUUCUCCCUCCCUUCCUUCCUCCCUCCCUCCCUCCUUCCCUCCCUUCCUUCCUCCCUCCCUCCCUUCCUUCCUCCCUCCCUUCCUUCCUCCCUCCCUCUCUUCCUUUCUCCCUUCCUUCCUCCCUCCCUCCCUUCCUUCCUCUCUUCCUCCCUCCCUCCCUUCCUUCCUCCCUUCCUUCCUUCCUUCCUCCCUCCCUUCCUCCCUCCCUCCCUUCCUUCCUCCCUCCCUUCCUUCCUCCCUCCCUCUCUUCCUUUCUCCCUUCCUUCCUCCCUCCCUCCCUUCCUUCCUCCCUCCCUUCCUUCCUUCCUCCCUCCCUCACUCCCUCCCUUCCUCCCUCCCUCCCUUCCUUCCUCCCUCCCUCCCUCCCUCCCCUCUAUCCAUUCAACAAUGGCACUCUUCCUCAAGCCCCCUCCCUCCCCUGAGUUCCCUUGCCAGGGUGGCUCUUGAGUCUGAACUCAACCCCAGUCUAGUAUCUGCUUGGGACUUUGAGGGGCCCGAGAGGGGCAAGCCAGCAGGGGUUGGGCAACACUGUCACGUUGGGUAGCUUUGGGACGGACUCGGGGGCCAGAAGACUGUGGUCAGCUUCACGGGGUGGAGAGUCGGGUGGCCGGUGCAGGUCAGCUCUGCAGCCUUACCAGGCGCUGGGGAACAGGCCUGGCAACUCUGGGAGGGAGCAGGUGGGGAGGACAGCGGCUGAGCACCGCUUCGGGUUCUGGGAGAUCCAGUCCCAAAGCGCGAGUGCGAGUGCUUGUGAGUGCUGGCCAGCUUAGAGACCCCGACAGUGGUGCGGUGGGGGCAGGGAAUGGUGGCCCCUGUCUCCUUCCUGCAAGCCCCUCUCCUGGAACGCACCCUUCGGGAGUCUCUACUUGCCCAGCAAGCUCCUGCAGCCUGUAUUCCGAGAUUGGGCGCUGCGAUACAGGGCGGGACUCAGGCUCCAUUCGUUGGGAGGCCACCGGCUGGGGCUGAUUCCCCGGAACCAGAAGGGGGCCCGAGGAAGACAGAAAAAAAGGUGCAAGCCAGCCCCCCAACCCUUGAGGGAAACACUGAAGCUUUUGUUCAGAGAGGGGAAACGCUGCCCUUCGCACUUGGUGCUGAGCUGCGGGCUGCCCCAACGCUGCCCGCCGAAGCGCAUCUCCGGGGCGGCCAGAUAAGACGACGGUCGGAGCUGAGAACGGCUGGGAUCCUCCUCAGCCUCGCCCUGGCGGUUAGGCCCGGAGGCCAGCCCCAGCCGUAGGGCGUCGGAGGGCCGGCAGCGCUGAGGGAUUGGGCUGUGGCCACGGCUUCCCUGGCCCCAUUGAGCGUAUCUGAAGGUGGAGACCAGCUGCGGGACUGAGGGAGCCGUUUGGAAGGAGGUGCCUGCAACCCUCCGCCAUCUCUGGAGCACAAACGAGAGAGCUUUCUGGGGACUCUAACCUUCCGAUUUAGGACCCCCUACACUUUCUGGUUACCCUUGAACCAGCGAGUCUGCGUUUGAGCCCGGAUCUUGCUGCCUCUUUCUUUCCUCUUGGUCUUUUUCGCGGUCUCCAUAACAUCCCUCCCGCCCUUCUCUCCCCCUUCUAUCCCACCUCCUCUCCCCGCCCCUCCCUACCCCACCUCCUUUUUGUUAGCCUCAUAUGGGUUCCUUUAGAAUCCGCCCGACUUUGGCAGCCUCGCGCUGUGUGUGUGCGUGCGCGCGCGCGUGUAUUUCUCGGCUGCUAAUGAUUGUGUGUUGAUAGAGUAAAGCAGUGGCCUCAUUAGCCUUUGUUUAGAAGGUGUUAAAAGGGAAAUCUGCAUCGGAAAGCGGCGGUUUACACCGCAGCCGGGCUGAACGAAGCACCGGGGGGGGGGGUGGGGGGCGUCCUCGCCCCCCACCCCGCCCCAGGCGUCGGAUCUCGGGAGGGGGGAGGGGCCCAGGGAAAGCGACCCCCGCUCCCUCCUCCCAAGGCGAGUAUGUUUACCCCGCUGAGCGCCCUUCUGCUCCAAGGGGACCUCAGCGGGGAUGCGCUUUCUCUAAAACUCCUUUGAGCUGCCCAACGGUGCGCGGUGGCCUUUCUCCUCCAGGUUUCUUGGGGGGAGGAGGAGGGGAGGGACAGAAUGCUGUUUAAAAAAAAAAAAUCCAGGAAUUUUUUUUCCCCCUGAAGGGGACGGUGAAGCAUCUUAUUUUGGAGGCGAAUUCCAAUCCGUCUACAGUGGCUGGACUGGGCUUGAGGUCUUCUGGCUGGUUGGUUUGUGGUGAUAUCUCUGUGCUCCAGACGCUGGUGUGGGGGCCCUAAGCUUCAGAUCUGCAAGGGUCCGCUUUCUUUCCUCCUAACAUAUUUGCGGACUGCCAAAGGAAGUCCUCCUUGUGCAGGAGGCUCAUUCUUAAACUUUCCUCGUCUCUACCCCCACCCUAGGGCUCCACUUGGGGAACAAAUUCUAUGAGAACAAAUGGUGGCUUGGCUGGUCGACUUCUCUGAAGCUUGGCAAAAGCGCAGAACUUUAGUGACCCUAGGCUACAUUCUGUGUGUGUGUGUGUGUUAGGAUCUGGAGAAUGAGUUUCACAUGCACGGCAUCUCCUACUCCCUCGGGGAAGCAAGGUUUGAGGCAGAGGAGAACAUGAGACGUUCUUUUUAUCCUGGAUCCUACGAAAGGGCCCAGAAAAAAAAAGUAUUUUGAGCAGCCUCUGUGGGUGAUGCUUGUUGAACUCAGAGCCAGAUGCUUUCUUUGGCGAAAGGGAGAAAAACGAGGCUGAUUUCGUGUGGUGGGAUGUAUAGUUUCUGAACACAACGUAAUCCAUUGCUUUCUGCCAGGCUUAGGUUGAAUCAGAAGAAACCCUUUCUCAUCUUUCUGGCUCCUGUCUCCCAGUGGUGGUUUUCCUGGAUUUGAUGCUGUGGGUCUUGGGCCAAGCUCAGCUGGUCUGGGCGUCCUUGUGUGUCCACAGCUCGGGACGCGCAUCAGCGAACCGUUCGACAUCGCCGCAUUUUUUUUUUUAGUCAAAGGCUAGGCGUUGUCUGGGGACAGAUGUGGGGGUCUAGGACCUGGGACAGUGACAGCAAAACGAAUUCCAAACCCAAUUUGAACUCACCACGGAGACACCCCAGCCCCCAACACCAUGUAGACAGAAGCGAGGUUCCUGGCGAAGCCAAGUUAAUAUCAGCCGCCGUGAUAUGGUGGGAUGGCAUCAGGGCCGAGUUCGGAAGAUACGGGGAGGGGAUAGGAAAAUCCCUCCCUCUCCUCCACGCUCCCUCUCUCUCUCCGAAGCAGGUUUGGUGGAGAAGGCAGCAGGUGCACCAGCGGUCGCUACCUCGCUAAGCGCGGGCCCGGAGUUUGGACCAAGACAAAGACGGGAGCUGUCCGCGGUGCUGAACCUGCCGCGCCGCCAAGGGGGCAAACGGGCUCCUGUAACCUGCCCUCUCCUCCUUCACUCCCUCCUUCCACCUUCCCUUUACCCUGUGAUUUUCGCCCUCUCCUGCGUUUGUUUCCCCCGCUUUGUCUUUCCUUAGCACCCGCGUCCUGUACACAGGUAUAUAUAUCAAAGAACAAAACAACUGACU
RNAcentral lists this long non-coding RNA (8503 nucleotides) under Lynx pardinus (Iberian lynx). Lineage: Eukaryota; Metazoa; Chordata; Mammalia; Carnivora; Felidae. The record is from RNAcentral.